AGUAAAUAGAUACCCUGGUAGUCCAUGCCGUAAACGAUGAUUGCUAGGUGUGGGGGGUCUGACCCCUUCCGUGCCGGAGUUAAACACAAAUAAGCAAUCCACCUGGGGAGUACGGCCGCAAGGUUGAAACUCAAAGGAAUUGACGGGGGCCCGCACAAGCAGUGGAGUAUGUGGUUUAAUUCGAAGCAACGCGAAGAACCUUACCAGGUCUUGACAUCCACCGAAUCCUGUAGAGAUACGGGAGUGCCCUUCGGGGAACGGUGAGACAGGUGGUGCAUGGUUGUCGUCAGCUCGUGUCGUGAGAUGUUGGGUUAAGUCCCGCAACGAGCGCAACCCUUGUGAAUAGUUGCUACGAAAGAGCACUCUAUUCAGACCGCCGUUGACAAAACGGAGGAAGGUGGGGAUGACGUCAAAUCAUCAUGCCCCUUAUGACCUGGGCUACACACGUACUACAAUGGCCGUUAACAGAGGGAUGCAAUGCCGCGAGGUGGAGCGAACCCCUAAAAACGGUCUCAGUUCAGAUUGCAGGCUGAAACUCG
RNAcentral lists this ribosomal RNA (539 nucleotides) under uncultured bacterium. RNAcentral describes it as "bacterial SSU rRNA". It matches the Rfam family "Bacterial small subunit ribosomal RNA", at positions 774 to 1314 of the family's 1533-position model. The record is from RNAcentral.